RNAcentral lists this transfer RNA (73 nucleotides) under Candidatus Aenigmatarchaeota archaeon. RNAcentral describes it as "tRNA-Gln". It matches the Rfam family "tRNA". From Rfam's summary of the family: Transfer RNA (tRNA) molecules are approximately 80 nucleotides in length. Their secondary structure includes four short double-helical elements and three loops (D, anti-codon, and T loops). Further hydrogen bonds mediate the characteristic L-shaped molecular structure. tRNAs have two regions of fundamental functional importance: the anti-codon, which is responsible for specific mRNA codon recognition, and the 3' end, to which the tRNAs corresponding amino acid is attached (by aminoacyl-tRNA synthetases). tRNAs cope with the degeneracy of the genetic code in two manners: having more than one tRNA (with a specific anti-codon) for a particular amino acid; and 'wobble' base-pairing, i.e. permitting non-standard base-pairing at the 3rd anti-codon position. The record is from RNAcentral. Lineage: Archaea; Nanobdellati; Candidatus Aenigmatarchaeota.
AGCCCGGUGGUGUAGUGGCCAAGCAUAUGAGGCUCUGGACCUCAUGACCAAGGUUCGAAUCCUUGCCGGGCUA